Molecule: transfer RNA, 76 nt
Filed under: Myxococcales bacterium
Lineage: Bacteria; Pseudomonadati; Myxococcota; Myxococcia; Myxococcales
Description: tRNA-Arg
Rfam family: tRNA
About the family: Transfer RNA (tRNA) molecules are approximately 80 nucleotides in length. Their secondary structure includes four short double-helical elements and three loops (D, anti-codon, and T loops).
Source: RNAcentral
GUUUCCGUAGCUCAGUUGGAUUGAGAGCGCCUGGUUGCGGUCCAGGAGGUCGGGGGUUCGAUUCCCUCCGGGAACA